RNAcentral lists this ribosomal RNA (450 nucleotides) under uncultured bacterium. RNAcentral describes it as "bacterial SSU rRNA". It matches the Rfam family "Bacterial small subunit ribosomal RNA", at positions 29 to 507 of the family's 1533-position model. The record is from RNAcentral.
AACGAACGCUGGCGGCAUGCCUAACACAUGCAAGUCGAACGGGAUCCAUUGCUUCGGCGAUGGUGAGAGUGGCGCACCGGGUGAGUAACGCGUGGGAACCUGCCAAUGAGUACGGAAUAACGGUUGGAAACGGCCGCUAAUACCGUAUACGCCCUACCGGGGGAAAGAGUUUUAUCGCUCAUUGAGGGUCCCCGCGUCCGAUUAGCUAGUUGGUGAGGUAAAGGCUCACCAAGGCGACGAUCGGUAGCUGGUCUGAGAGGAUGAUCAGCCACACUGGGACUGAGACACGGCCCAGACUCCUACGGGAGGCAGCAGUGGGGAAUAUUGGACAAUGGGGGCAACCCUGAUCCAGCAAUGCCGCGUGUGUGAAGAAGGCCUUAGGGUUGUAAAGCACUUUCACAGGUGACGAUGAUGACGGUAACCUGAGAAGAAGCCCCGGCUAACUCCGUG